Non-coding RNA from Pelobates cultripes (western spadefoot toad), 386 nucleotides. NCBI's taxonomy places the organism in Eukaryota, Metazoa, Chordata, Amphibia, Anura, Pelobatidae. The record is from the annotation of a GenBank genome assembly.
AAAACUGGGAUUUUAGGAUGUCUAAUCUGAAGAAAUGCUAGUUCAUUUUUAUCUAAUACCUCAUUCUCGAGGCCUUCUGCCAAUAAGCUCUCAUACUUUAUUGUUAUUUCAGCAGUGGGAUUUUUAUUUAACUUCUUAUAAGUAGUAGCAUCUCGAAGUUGUCUUCUUAUUUCAUUUAGGUAUUCUUCCUUAUCAAGGACUACUACUCCACCCCCUUUAUCUGCUGACUUUCUUACAAUACAAGGAUCCCGUUUCAGAUCUUUUAACAUUUGUUUUUCUUUUAAGGUCAAAUUUGGUUGAUAUUUUGAAAGGGGUUUUAUAUUGUAUAGGUCUUCGAGACACACCUUUUCAAAUACUCGCAUACUUUGUGACUUAAUGUGUUGGGG